This 20-nucleotide non-coding RNA is filed under the name Arabidopsis thaliana (thale cress). Lineage: Eukaryota; Viridiplantae; Streptophyta; Magnoliopsida; Brassicales; Brassicaceae. The record is from RNAcentral.
UUUUUUCAAGCUAGUGAUUG